GACGAACGCUGGCGGCGUGCUUAACACAUGCAAGUCGAGCGGUAAGGCCCUUUCGGGGGUACACGAGCGGCGAACGGAUGAGUAACACGUGGGUGACCUGCCCUCAGCUCUGGGAUAAGCCUGGGAAACCGGGUCUAAUACUGGAUAUGACUCCAUGACGCAUGUUGUGGGGUGGAAAGCCUUGUGCGGCUGAGGAUGGGCCCGCGGCCUAUCAGCUUGUUGGUGGGGNGAUGGCCUACCAAGGCGACGACGGGUAGCCGGCCUGAGAGGGCGACCGGCCACACUGGGACUGAGACACGGCCCAGACUCCUACGGGAGGCAGCAGUGGGGAAUCUUGCGCAAUGGGCGAAAGCCUGACGCAGCGACGCCGCGUGAGGGAUGACGGCCUGGUGUAAC
This 396-nucleotide ribosomal RNA is filed under the name uncultured bacterium. RNAcentral describes it as "bacterial SSU rRNA". It matches the Rfam family "Bacterial small subunit ribosomal RNA", at positions 28 to 429 of the family's 1533-position model. The record is from RNAcentral.